Molecule: ribosomal RNA, 427 nt
Filed under: uncultured bacterium
Lineage: Bacteria
Description: bacterial SSU rRNA
Rfam family: Bacterial small subunit ribosomal RNA
Source: RNAcentral
UGGGGAAUUUUGGACAAUGGGCGCAAGCCUGAUCCAGCAAUGCCGCGUGCAGGAUGAAGGCCUUCGGGUUGUAAACUGCUUUUGUACGGAGCGAAAAGGUCUGCCCUAAUACGGUGGGCUCAUGACGGUACCGUAAGAAUAAGCACCGGCUAACUACGUGCCAGCAGCCGCGGUAAUACGUAGGGUGCGAGCGUUAAUCGGAAUUACUGGGCGUAAAGCGUGCGCAGGCGGUUACAUAAGACAGAUGUGAAAUCCCCGGGCUCAACCUGGGACCUGCAUUAGUGACUGUAUAGCUAGAGUACGGUAGAGGGGGAUGGAAUUCCGCGUGUAGCAGUGCAAUGCGUAGAUAUGCGGAGGAACACCGAUGGCGAAGGCAAUCCCCUGGACCUGUACUGACGCUCAUGCACGAAAGCGUGGGGAGCAAACA